CUUUCUUGCUGGUAGCAGCUGAAUGAAACUUCUUGUUUUGUGAUUAUACUAUUAAUCUAACAUGUGAUAUUAUUAUUAUUACAUCUAUGGCUUUGUUUCUAAGAUACAUAAUUUCUUUCUUACUAGGAAAAGAAAUGUUAGAUCCUUAGUUAAAGUUGCAAUUUAAGCAAAGCUACCUCUUUUCUCCUCUUUGCUCCUUUGGGAAUGACCAAAUCUUCUUUGAGGUUCCUGUGAAUUUGAGUUUUUUCCUCUAUAUAUGAAGUUCUAAUAAGCACAUGCUGCAUUCUCAGAAAUACCUCACUCAUCUCUUUACGUAUUUUAGCACUAUUUAUUUAUUUCAUCAGAAUUUUUUAAUUCUAUUGCAUUAUGAACAGUUGCUUGUCAGUUUGGCAAGACCACUUGUCGAUAAAAGACUUGCUACUAAAUUUAUGCUGAUUGGUUCUUCAAAAAAUUGCUAUUGGAAAAUCUAUAUUUGUGGUAGUAAUUUCUAAAAUUGGUAGACAUGAACUCACUUGGAUAUAUGCGUUUAUACUCAGGCACCAGUGAACUACAAAGAACCAGAUUUCCAGACUCGUGCUUUGCAGCAUAGCAGAGUUAAGCUAACCUGGGAAGAUGAUGAACCAGAACGCAAGAAGAUUUUGAGACGCAAGUUCAAUCCAAAUCAGGUAUUUAAAAAAAAAAAAAUCGCCUACUGAUUUGGUUGCCAACCAUAUAUAGUUGGUAUUUGAGUGGUGAAUGUCUGCUCAUUCAGAUCCAUAUAUGGCUCUUUUCUCUUGCUUAGGCCUUGGAUAUGAUUAGCAGUAUUGUUUUCUUUCUCAGUAAAUAGGCCUAUUUCAAUAGCUCAAUGCUAUUCAAAAUAACUUCAUCUUAAUAAUUAUAUAAAGUCAUAUAUUUUCCACAUUGUUUUGUUUAUGAGGAAGUUCAAGUAGAGUUUCAUAUGCUUGUAAAACUGUUCUUCAAUGUUCUGAAACGAACUUCACCUUUCUGCACAUAAUUGGUCUUUAUUCCUAGUGUGCGCAUUCUAAUCCAGUUAUGGUGACUUCCUCUUAGUUUCAGCAUCUUGGGGCGUAUGUGAUUGUUUUUUAGUCUAUAUUUAUAAAUAAAAAAAAAUGUAUUCUUGUUAUUUUUUGUCUGAAAAUCCAGUCACUUAGUAUAGUUUGUUUAUCCAUCUGCCUGGUUUGUGUAAUAACUGGAGCCCUUUUUUUGCCCGCUACAGCUCGAUGAGUUCAAUGAAUACUUAGCUUCCACCGAUGAGAGUGAUGAAGACGACGAUGAGUACAAUAACCAAAAUGGUGUUGGCAAUAACGAUGAAGCUGAGGCCAUGCCCAACGGUGAAACCAAGAAGCGCUUAGGAAGAGAGAAACUAUUAGCUCUUCUACAAGCUGGAGAUGAUUCGGACUCGGAUAAAAGCGAUGACAAAGACAUGGAGAUCACUUUCAAUACAGAACUCGAGGAUCUAAGCAAGCGCAUCCUCGAUGAAAAAGACAAAAAAUCAGAGACUGUUUGGGAGGCAGUCCUUAGAAAGAGGAACGAGAAAAAGAAAGCUAGAAAGAAUCAGUCAAAGCACUUAGAUGAUGAAAACAGUGAUUCUGAUAAUGAAGAAGCACCUCAACAAGAUGAUGAUGAUUUCUUUGUUGAAGAGCCUUUAGAUAGUGAAAGUAGCAAGCAAAAGAAGGGUCUGAAGGGUAAAAAAGGCCAAAAAGGCAGUAGAAAAGAUAGAGAUGAAUCUCCUGAGGGAGAGAAGGAGAGAGAAGCGAGUAGGGCAGAAUUGGAACUGCUAUUUGCUGAUGAUCAGGAUGUGGAUCAGGGUCCCAAGGGCUUUAAUUUGAAGCCCAAGAAGGUGAAGGGCAAGAAGGGGAAGGAGAAGUCUUCAGAGGACAAACUUCCGAAUGUAGAUCUUAGUAAUGAUCCGAGGUUCGCUGAACUCUUUUCUUCUCAUCUCUUUGCAUUGGACCCAACGGAUCCAGAGUAUAAAAGGUAAUCUUGAAAACUUUGCUCUACUAUGUUCUCAUUACUGUUUCAUGUUGGUUGUUAAUAUCUAAAGUAAGGACUUAAUUACAAAUUUAGUCCCUGAAGUUCUGAUCGAAUGUCGAUUUACAUAAUCAAAGUUCCAACUUUAACAACUUAGUCAAAAUUUCCUCCUACAUUGAAAGGGAAAAAAAGCAUCAUAAACCUUAAAAGAUGUGAUAGCAAACAGACUUCACUGACUAUUUUAUUUCUGUGAAAUUGAAACUCAAAAGACAGCAGUUGAAAUCAAGGUCAAACUUCCUUGACUAAAGUUCCAACUAAGCCUUCAAUUAGUUUAAGACAACCAUGUUACUUGCUUUUCUUUACAAGGAGUGCUAAAAGUUUGUUAUAUGUGGAUUAAACAGGAGUGCGGCGUAUGUUCGAAAGCGAGCAAAAAAGCAGGGAAAGGAUUCUCAAGAAGAAGAGAUACCGGAACAUAAUUUGCACAAGCCAUCGAAACAAGAUACACCGCCACCUGAAGAGGGACUACCAAAUAUAGACACAGUUCCGCAACCUAGCAGGGUUUCAUUAGAGAAGAAUGAGCUAUCUUCCACCAUUUUGUCGCUUAAAAGAAAUCUAGGAACCUUUAAAAAUGGAACAAAGGGUCGGUAAUGUGUACCCAGCUUCUGCAAGUUUCCGACAGUGCCGAAAAGCAGUUGAAAUUUUGUCAUAGUUGUUUUUUUUUUUCAAAUUUUGUCAUAGUUGUUUUUUUUUUUUUUUUUUUUUUUUUUUCACUCCAAAUUUGUGUAGAACAUCUUGAAUUUUGAUAGAUGUGUUACUUUAUUUUUCUUUAUGAAACUAUCUUGAACUUGUCUUGUAACACUAUCAGGAGCCAAUUUCGCCUUGUACUCCUAUAGCUAGAUUUUAUUUUUAGUUUUAAUUUUUUAUUUUUAAAUUUUAUAUAUAUGUACAUUUGUUGAGUGUAUGUUCAAAUCCACGGAAUAAUUUUUUAAUGCUUAUCUCAAAUUAACAUAAAUUUGUGGAUUAUAUUUAUUGAAAAGUUUACACUCAAAACUUAACAAUAAAAAUUUAAAUUUUAAAAAAGCAAUUAUAUCUGUUAUAUUUUAUUAAAAAUUAUUUGUCAUAUUCUAACUCAAAUUUAGAUAGUUUGACAAAUUAUAAAGUUUUAUCUUUUUAUUUUAUAAAAUUUAAGUUUAAAUAGUGAAUUAAAUUUAACUUUGAAUAUCAAAUUUAAAUUAACAAUUAAGAAAUUUUAAUUAAAGUGGAUUAAAAUUAAAUUUGAAAUUUGAAUUAAAUAUGAAUUAAAAUUUUGAUAUUUUUAGUUUAAAACAUAUACUUCAAUUUUUGGAUUCAUCAGAAUUCAAAAAAAUACAAAAAUAUUUAAUGUAUAAUUAAAUUUUAAUUCUGAGUUUAAGAUGAAAUAAAAGUUUAAAAUCAAAUAAAGAUUAAAAAAUAAAUAGACAAAUUAAAUUUAAAUUUAAUUAUUCUUUUGAGAAAGAGGUAGACGAGCUACCUGCUUCAUUCAUUGAGAGAUGAAUUAGGCAAAACAGUAUGGAAGCAUCUGAGGCUUCCGGGGCGAGAGACAAACAGAGAGAAAGAAAAGAAAAUAAGGGGAGAAAAAAACCAAAGAAAGUCGAAUGAAAAAUGAAAAAGACGGAAAAGAUCAAAAUAAACCCAAAGGUGGGCAAAGUGGGUUAAAGGAGGUGUUGCGCGAGGGUUGAAAUCGCAGGUUCAGUCCAAGACGUCGAAAGUAGGACGGCCCGCUCUAACGCUCUGGUGGCGUUGGGGCUCUUCGAGCGGAAAAUGAGGUCGUUCCUUUCCGUCCAGACGACCCACCAAGUAGCCGCCAGGGAGGUCAGGGCCUUAGACCUUUGCGUUGUGUCUGAAAUUGCGGUGGAUCUGAUCCAGAGAGUCCGGACACAGUUCGAAUCUUCGGCCGGGACGUCCAACAUAAAGAGCAAGAAGCGCGUGAAGGUGCAGUUGGUGAAGAGAUGAUCGCAACGUUCCGAAGCAAAUGCGCAGAAGUUACAAUGCUCGGCGACCUGCAUCCCACGGGCGAUCAGUCUGUCAGCAGUGGGUAGUCUUUUGCGCAGUAGUACCCAAAUGAAGACUUUGAUUUUGUUGAAAAUUUUUAAAGUCUAGAUAUGGUGGUAGGUGGUAUCCUUGAUCCCUGUGUUGUCGAGGAACAUGUAGAGCGAUUUGACUGUGAACAGUUGAUCGGGUGUCCAUCGCUAACUCGGAGUAUCCGGGCAAUUCAUGGGGUUGAAACGAAGGAGUAGGUCUUUGAGAAGUGCGAAAUGUGUGUGGUUGAUGUGUAUUGAAAUAAUCUAAAAAUAUUCAUCUAAAAUGAAAGGAUAUGAAAUACUUUUAAGACUAUCAUUAGAAAAAAAAAAUAAAAAUUUUAUUUUAUUAUAUUACUUAUUUUGUAUUAAAGAGCGAAAAAAUAAAAAAAAAUUUGCUAAAUAAUGGAUUUGUCAACAUACCCAAAUUCAGAAUAAAAAAUUAUUUAACUUUGAAUAAAAAUAAUUUAAUCGUGGAGUGCCUGUUAAAUUUAAAUUUAAAAUUUAAAUUUAUGAAAUUAAACGAACUCGCACAAGGAAAUUUACUCCAUGAUUUUCAUAGAUGUUUCCGGUUUAGUAUGCGACUCGCAUACUACUAAACAUCUGUUUCCUGAAAAUAUAAUGAAACUUCCACGAUUUUCAUAAAUUUAAAUAAAUAAAUCAAUUCGGAGAAAAGAUCCUGUUAAAUUUAUUUAAAGAGAAAAAUAAAAUCAUAGAUUUUUCAUUAUAAUUUCAGGUAGAUAUUAUUUCUACUUUAUCUAUAUUUACAUCUCUAUAUCUAUCUAUUUUCAUAUUAUUUAUUUAUCUGAUAGCCCAAUUUGCAUAAAAAAUUUACUAGUUUUGAGUUUAAAGCAGACAGCUUUUCUGGAUUUAACGGAUUCGAGCCGAAUUUUUAAAAACUAACAACAAUAUCCUUAUUCUUUUUUCUCUCUAUUCUUUUUUUUUUCUUUUUUCUUUUAUUUUUCUUUCUCUCCCAAGAGGCGGAGAUAGAAGCGGCCCCCCUUACCUUUGUCCGGCACAUCCUCACCUGCCUUCCUCGUCUCCGAUGCUACCGAGCCCUCUCUUCUUUUUUUUUCCUCUCGUUUACUCCCUUCGAUCUCCCUCCACUGCAUCCGCGACCCUUCACAACGGUAAGGAAGAUCGCAUCCUCUUACUCCGCCUACAUCCUCCGCCGAUAAGGAAAUAAUGGGUGCAGGGUAAGCGAGUGACCUCGGACCCGGCGUGGAGCUCAGCGAGGCAGAUCGCACACAUCUCAUCCUCCUCCGAUCCUGCUGCAGCCAGCUGCGACAGCUCCAGUCCCUCCAUCGCCGUAGGCAUCAACCGAAGACGAGAGGUCACCGGAAAGGCAGAGAAGACCAUCAGCUCCACGAUUACCGGGAGCUUUCUGCAGAGCGCGUAGCGCGCAUCGCACAGCAUCCAGCCCGCCUGGCAUCCGAAGUGGUUUGCGAUGCAUCUUCGCGUGAACGACGGAACUGCACCCCCCAUGCAUUCUUCGAGCUUCUCGGUCAUGAUCUUGCGGGCCUCCUUAGACACUUCCGUGCUGACGAAUUCCCCGCGAUCGCAGCACAGCUCCGUGCACCGGAUCUCUAGAUACCACCGCAUCCGAAGAUCUACGGGUACGCCCUUUAUCCCGUGUUCUUCGUCCUCUAAGAUGUUCCGAACGAUCAACACGAUGCCAAAGAACAUGGAAGACCACGAGGGAAUUUACCGAUUUCUUCACUAAUUUAAAAUUCAUAAUCAAAUAUUUUAUUAAUUAUAUGUAUAACGAUAAAAGUUAAUGAGGGCACAAUAAAAACAUUAUCGUCAAAAAUACCAAAGAUAGUACUUUCACUCCACUUAGUUUUUUUUUUUUUAAAAAAAAUUCUAUCUUAAUUGUAAUAGAAAAAUAUUAUUUAUGUUUCUUAAUACUGUAAUGAGUUUUUUGUUUUAUUUUAAACUGAUUUAUUCAUUUAAAUUAUUAGGCUUAAAUAUUUUUUUUUAAAAAAAUAUACUUUAAUUUCAUUUUUUAAUUUAUUUUUUAAAUUUUAAUUAUUCAAUACUGAGAUAAAUAAUAUUUAAAAAUACUAAUGCAUAAUAAAAAAAUAAUUAUUAUAAUAAAUUACUAUUGUACUGUCUUAACUAAUUAAUUUAGUACACAAUAAAAAUUUGAAUACGAGUAACAAAUAAAUAAUGGAUUUCAUAAUUAUAUUUGACCAAAAUGAAUUUGAAUACAAAUGGAGUUUGGAAAACUACAGAUAUGAAUAGACUUUUCAAGUUUCAAAAUAUCUACAAUUAGAAAUUAGAAAUCAGAAAUCGUUAGGCAUUAUUUUAUAAAACCACAUUUUGAAUUUUAAAAUAAAUCUAUUUUAUAAGCUCUAUACAUGAUUAGCUUCCUACUUUGGUUGAUUUGAGCCCUUGUUUUAAGAAAAAUGCUACGGGCACACUCCUACAGGAUCCAAGGAUUAAUAAAACCUCUUUUAAAAUUUUUUUUUUAGAAAAAUGUCAAGAAAAGUGAAAAAAUAUGGAUCACAAGGUACCUGAGGUGUAAUCUAUUAUCUAUGCAAUUAUGUUAUAGGGUGCGUCAGCUGGAUCACAAGGAUAAGCUUUGAUUAAAUAAAAUUUAAAGUUGAAAUUUAAUUAUACGAUUUAAAUUUAAUUCUCUAAAUUUAAAUAUUAGAAUUAAAAUUUUGAGUUUAAAUCAUAAAUUAAAUUUAGUUUGGAUAUCCAAUUUAAAUUAACAAAAUAAAAAUUUUAAUUACAGUAUAUAAAAAAUAAAUAUUCAAUUUUAAAGUAAAUAUGAAUUAACUUUUGAUUCUUUUAGUUCAAAACACAUAUCUAAAUUUUGAUUCAUCAAAAAUUAAAAAAAUAUAAAUAAAAUACUUCAUGUAUGUAAUAAAAAAGAGCAAUAUAAGAUAUUGCAAAUACUUCCUAAUAAAAUAUAAUAUAUGAAUUUAUAAAAUAUAACUUUUAUUGUAAAUGUUUGGAUAAAUAUGUUAUACAAAUUUAUAUUGAUUUAAAUAAAUUAAAAUAAUUAUUGCGUGUAUUUGCACAUACACUUAGGCUUCGUUUGGUUUGAAUAUAAGAAAAAAACUGUGUAUUUAAGAGACAGAUAUAAGUUGAGGUGUUAGCCUAGAAUAGGCCAAUUUUGCAUUUGGAUAAAAAAUAGUGUUUGGAUUGAUAAGAUUAAAUAAAAAAGAUAGUGGAGAGUCGUAAAUAAAAAAUAAUGAUAUUGCCCUUUUUAUUAUAUUUGAAUUAAAAUUUUUAUAUUGUAUAUUUAAAAUUUUAAAUUUAAAUAUAUAACUCUUAAAUUUCAAAAAUACAAAAUUUAAAUUUAAAAUUGUAAAUAUCAAAUUCAAAAAUUUAAAGUUUUAAAUUUUAAAUUUAAGAUUAAAUCUGAAUUUAAAAAUAAAAUAUAAAAUAUAAAUUUUAAAAAUUAAAAAUAAUAAUUUAAAUGUCACGUCCCGGAUUUCACGUUCUUCGAGCACGCCGACAAAUCCGCCGUAUACAAAGAAAUUUUUUCUGUAUACAAAGCGAUAGCUGUAUUGAAUUUGAAAACAAACAACGUUACAACCAGUAGUAUAGAGCUGGUAAAAGAACUAGUAUAGAUAAAAACGUGGAUCAGUACAUACGCAGUAUCGUGGUACAAAACUCUCGCUCCAGCGAGAUAUAAUGUCAGUAUGUAAUGAACCAAAAACUACAACUACAUGUAGCUGCUCCACUAGCUCUGGCUCGUCUGGUAAGGCUCUAACUCGCGACGCCCUUGCCACGAUCUGUCUCAGAAGAAGCAGCAGCCGGAACAGCAGGCUCUGCAAAAAUAGUGAUAACAACUGGGCGUGAGAACUACUGUAAAACAAGUAGUUUUCAGUGGGUGCCACCCUCGACAUCAUUGGUCCACCCACUAAGUUUACAGAAGUAAGCAAGAAUAAUAGGAAAAGCUAGAAAAACUCUACAGCUAAAAUGCCACUACACUAUCAUGCUCUAACUCUAACCAUCUGUAGUAAAUGUCAAUCCUGACCCAAUCUCUCCAGGAAUUGUGAUACACCCGUCCCGCCUGUCAAAGCUACACUAACAACCACCACGCUGGGUAGUUAGUGGAGAGCAAGUCCAAUCAGGACACAACGACACCAACGCAAUAGCGCAAAGCCCGACUCCGGAGUGGCACUCGUGGGCGCUAUCCAACCGAGUAUGCAAGCGUAUCUCUGUCGAGCUCAAUCAGGCUCUCGCAGGCUAUAGUCAAGUACAUAGGGUCCAACUGGUCUACCAACCAACAAGUGACGUGCCCUCACCACAAUCUGAUGCCAGAACGGCAAUCCGGGUCCACCGUCAACCCCAACGGUAUCCGACAGUCCGGAACAGUAUAAACUCCACUGUAAAAAUAGGCUCAGCAUUUCAGCACGAGCGUAACAGUAAUCUACACUACCUGGGAUAUCCACCAUACUGAUACUGCGGCGAUAUAAAAUAAUAACGGCUCCUAGAGCUAAAUCUGGUAGUGUAAACAGGUGACAGGUCCAAAACGCUGGUUUUCUCCUAUGUCAUAUUUAAGUCCAACAUGUGCUAAUAGAUAUAGUCAAGAACAAGGCUCUAAUUCAGAUUUUAUUCAUAACUAUGCUAAAUUCAUGAAUCGAGCAAAUGCGAUAUACAAAACGUUAUUACGCACAUAUGCCGACUAUACAAAUAUACAUAGGAGAGAACCGACGAUUGACCCACCUCGAAAGCUAAACCCAAUCCGGCGCGACGUCGAGAACGGCGGAAUCGCACCCUUGUCCGGCCUCCCCGCAGCGCUAUGACGACGAAAACACGCUCGAACGGCACCGCGGCGCGACGUCGAAGACACCCGAACUCCCCCUGAGCUCCUCCACCACGCUCGGACAAGCACAAGGAGAAGAGAAAGAGAGAGUGCAGAAAUCCCUUCUUCUCUGUUCUCUCUUUCCUAUAUAGGGAGGGAGAGGGGUGGUGAUACGAUCAAGGCAAGAAAAUGACCAAAAAGCCCCCCUUACCUACCAAUGUGUACUGGUACACGUGCAUUUGUACCGGUACAAAUGGCAACCCAAGAGCAGCUGCGCGAGCACUGGCGAAAUGUACCGUUUACACCUCGAUAGUUGUACCGGUACAGAAAGAUGUACCGGUACACCUUGAUGGUUGUACCGGUACAACGGGCAGAAAAUCUGCAUUUUACAGAUUUCAGUGCUACAUCUCGCUCUCGCGUCUCUACUAAAUUUGUUUGGCGUCCAUUUCGCGCCAACGCGACUCGGACUUAUCCCAACACUCUCCCGAUGUGUCGACAAGCCCCAACCGCUGAAUUCCAGGAAUACUACAUUAAAAUUUGGAAUUUAAAAUAAUAAAUUUUAAUUUUAUGAUUACAAAUUAUAAAUUUUUAAAAUUUUAAACUUAAAUUUUAAAUUUAUAUUUAAAAAUUAAAUAUGGGGUUCCAAAGGUGGGGAUUAAGGGUGUCAAUGAGCCGAACACGAGGCGGCCCCACAUGAGUUGCCUCAUUAAAGUAUCUGAAAAAUUCAGCUCUUAUUCGGCUCGUUUAUUAACAAGCAGAACACGAGCUGGCUCACGAGCUAGCCAACGAAUAAUAAUAAGUUAAAUGGAUUAGAAUAGAUAUAGGUACAAAAUAAAAUUUAUAAAAUUUUAUUAUAAGCAUCAAACUUUGAUCUAAUGAUUCGUGAACGUCUACAAUCCAAAGAGCUCAUCACUGCUUAUGUUCCUACUCAUGAACAGUCUGUAGAAAUCUUCACAAAAGCUCUCGGUUUAGAUCGAUUUUCAAAUCUAUUGUCCAAAUUGGGCAUUGCGAAUCUACAUUCUCCAACUUGAUAGGAAGUAUUAGCAGGAUUUACAAAUCAAAUAUCGAUUUGAUCAAAAUUCUAAUUAGCCUAACUUAUCUUACAAAUGUGUAUGGUUUUAUAUACUUUCCAUUAUUAACAUUUUGCUCUUGGAAGAUAUGGUCAGCUUAGCUUUCUUUUAUUAUUAUUUCUUAUUUUAGAAUCAUCUUGUAUCAUAUUUAAGAUGGACGAAACGAUAUUAAUAAAAACAUAUUGAGUUCAACUUAUCAGUAAUUUGAGUCCGAGAAAAGUUCAAAACCGUAGUCAAGUUCUAAUUUUGAACAAAAAUCAAUCACCGGCAACACAAAUUGGUGAAUCCACAACCAAAUUAACCAUCAAAAAUCACUCUUUUGAGUCUUUUCCACGACACCCUAGCAUUCACCAACGAUCCCAAUCAAAUCACUUCCCUGGGAACUCCCAAUCUCAAUCGAACCCCAAUUCACGAACAGGAGAAGGAAAGGACUCACAUCAACGAUGGCGCCCGCGGCCUCGGUGAGCGUGGGGGAGAUGUCGAACAGGUCCCUCCUGAUCAAAUCAACCAGGGUGAGCUUGCGAAGAGAGAAAGAGAGAGACCUAGAGAGAGAGGGAGGGGUGGUAGGGGAGUUACACGUGGAGGUUUUUGGGGGAGUCUUGGAUGGAGUAGGUGGGGAGGUACUCCUCGAGGUUGAGACGGUUGAGAUCCAUCUCCGCGGCUCCGCGCUCGACGAGCCCAGAGCUUCGGCCAUGGCGGAGCUCCUCCAACAACACCACCCACAACAACAAGCGGAGGAGGAGGACGAAGACGACGACGCGCACUCUACCCCACUGCUCCUCCUAUUUUAUUUUUCCUUUUUAUUAUUGUUAUUAAAUUAAUAAUUAUUAUUAUUUUAUUAUUAUUUACUUUUAUCGGGUCCGAUCUGGUGGUUCCGUCCACUCCACCCGACUCGAAGUCUCCCGGUGCUCUUCCGUGAAUAAUAUUAUUAUAAAUAUAAAUUAGAUUAGAUAUAUAUACUGUUCUAUUUUAAUUAUAUAAAAUCAAAUAUUAAAUAAAAAUAUUAAAAAUAAAAAAUAAAAAUUCAAAUCCUCGCAGUGAAUCACCAUCGUGCAAAUCGCUUUAAUACUCGUGCCGAUCAUCAAUUUCCCCUUUUUUUUUCCCUUAAUUAUUUCGCAUAAAGGGCUAGAGACGGGCCUCGGACCAAAACCGGCCCGUUAAAGAUCCAAGCCCCAUUAAUUGUUAUUAUUAUUACUAAUCCAUUAAAUUGUGGAUUCGGGUUUCACUGACGCUUGUUUGCGAAUUGCGAAGCCCUUCUCUUCUCUCUCCCUCUCUCUCUCGAUCUCUCGACCGCCGCCAUGGCUACGACGUCGAAGCUCGAGAAGAAGAAGACGAAGAAGAAGAUGGAGGGGGAGGAGGAGCCCCACGAGUUUCGUGGCUACGGCGAUGGCGAUCGCGUUGAACCGGGUGGCGCUCGUAAGAAGUCAAAGAAGCGGAAGCUCCAAUCCAUGGAGGUACCGGAGGUUUCUAGGGUUAAGGACGAGAAGAAGAAGAAGAAGAAGAAGAAGGAUGAGAACAGAGAAGAAGAUGCUGUUGAGGAGGGAGAGGAGAGGAGGGGGGUGAUCACGGACGAGAGGUUCGCGGCGGCGCAAUACGACCCGAGGUUUCGGCGGAUGCCGCGGAAGGAGGCGAAGGUCACGAUCGACUCGCGCUUCGCCCGCAUGUUCACCGACAAGGACUUCGCAGCUUCGGCGGCGCCCGUCGACAAGCGGGGGCGGCCGAGGAAGGAGGGCGCGGUGAAUCCGAUGCUACAUUACUACCUUCAACAGGAUGGUGAGGAAGAAGAAGGUAGGUUGAAGCUUGAGGAGGAGGAGGAGGUUAAGGAGGGAUCGGAUGAAUCGGAGAGUGAUGAGACUACUACUACGACUACAGAUGAAGAAGAAGAUGACGAUGAUCAGGUGAUAGAUUGUUCUAAUUUUUUGCUUUAUGUUUGUAAAAAUUGAGUUUUAAUGCUGAAUUGUAUCAGAAAUAGUUGUUUGUUUAAUUUGGUUUCUAUAAAAGGUUAUAGAGGUCUAACCAUGCGAUUGUUUGUUGUUUGUGAAAAUUUCUAGUACUCUGUUAAUAGCGAUCUAUGUCGGUAUCUGAUGGCUAAUCACGAUGACACGCCGAUGAUCAAGAAUGAAACUCACCGGCUCGCAGUUGUUAAUUUGGAUUGGGAUCAUAUCAAGGUCUGUUAGGUUAUGAAUACAUUAUCUAUUUUGCUCUGUUACUUUUUUUUAAAAAAAAGUCAUAUGGGUUCAAUUUUGUGUUGUGCUUCUUGUUUAUCACUUUAGCCUGUUGAUCAUCACUUUGUUGGUUUCUUUUUUUUUCCCUUGCAUUGGUAGGCUGUUGAUCUGUAUGUGGUGAUGACUUCAUGUCUCCCAAAAGGCGGGCAAAUCCAUUCGGUGGCUGUCUAUCCAUCCGAAUUCGGACUCAAAUGCAUGGAAAUCGAAGCAAUUCAUGGACCAUCUGGUCUUUUUGAAGACAAUGAUGAUAAUAGCGAAGAUGACUCUGAUGUUGACGAUAACAAGUUACGCCCUUAUGAGCUCAACAAACUAAGGUAGCUACCAUUAUUCUAUGUUCUUUUGGAGCUAAUUCAUUUCUUUACAUAUGCACGAUUAUAUGGAGAUAAAGUAGAGGGAGAAAGAGAUACUUGAAUAUUUGCCAACAAUUUUGGUUGUUUAUUUUGCAUGAAGAAAUAAUUUUUGGAAAGCAAGUUUGCUGCAUAUUGUCCUGGGAAAGUGCAUUUGAUUGGCAAUCCUAUUGUGAUACAAAUUCUCAGCUGUGUUUUCUAUUUUUUGGACCUCUUGCAGGUAUUACAAUGCAGUUGUCGUAUGUGAUUCAAGUGCCACUGCAAAUCACUUGUAUAAGACUCUUGAUGGUACCGAGUUUUUGAAAACUUCUAAUGUGUUCGAUUUGCGAUCAUUCCCGAUUCCGUGGAGUUCAAACAUCCGCCUCGUGAUAUUGCAACCGAGGUAAUUCUUUCUUGCUGGUAGCAGCUGAAUGAAACUUCUUGCUUUGUGAUUAUACUAUUAAUCUAACAUGUGAUAUUAUUAUUACUACAUCUAUGGCUUUGUUUCGAAGAUACAUAAUUUCUUUCUUACUAGGAAAAGAAAAGUUAGAUUCUUAGUUAAAGUUGCAAUUUAAGCAAAGGCUACCUUUUUUCUCCUCUUUGCUCCUUUGGGAAUGACCGAAUCUCCUUUGAGGUUCCCGUGAAUUUGAGUUUUUUCCUCUAUAUAUGGAGUUCUAAUAAGCACAUGCUACAUUCUCAGAAAUACCUCACUCAUCUCUUUACUUAUUUUAGCACUAUUUAUUUAUUUCAUCAGAAUUUUUCAAUUCUAUUGCAUUAUGUCAGUUUGGCAAGUCCGCUUGUCGAUAAAAAACUUGCUAGUAAAUUUAUGCUGAUUGGUCCUUCAAAAAAUUGCUAUUGGAAAAUCUAUAUUUGUGGUAGUAAUUUCUAAAAUUGGUAGACAUGAACUCACUUGGAUAUAUGUGUUUAUACUCAGGCACCAGUGAACUACAAAGAACCAGAUUUCCAGACUCGUGCUUUG
This 13393-nucleotide long non-coding RNA is filed under the name Ananas comosus (pineapple). RNAcentral's name for it is "long non-coding RNA (ACOM_LNC015735)". The record is from RNAcentral. Lineage: Eukaryota; Viridiplantae; Streptophyta; Magnoliopsida; Poales; Bromeliaceae.